UACAGAGGUGGCAAGCGUUGUUCGGAAUUACUGGGCGUAAAGGGCGCGUAGGCGGUCUUUUAAGUUCCGUGUGAAAUCCCUCGGCUCAACUGGGGAACUGCACGGAAAACUGGGAGGCUUGAGUUCGGGAGAGGGAAGCGGAAUUCCGGGUGUAGCGGUGAAAUGCGUAGAUAUCCGGAGGAACACCGGUGGCGAAGGCGGCCUCCUGGACCGACACUGACGCUGAGGCGCGAAAGCUAGGGGAGCAAACGGG
This 253-nucleotide ribosomal RNA is filed under the name uncultured bacterium. RNAcentral's name for it is "partial 16S ribosomal RNA". It matches the Rfam family "Bacterial small subunit ribosomal RNA", at positions 524 to 776 of the family's 1533-position model. The record is from RNAcentral.